GAGGAGAGGGCUAGACCAGCAAGAACUGCUAACUCUUGCAUCUGAGACUAAAUCCUCAGUCUCCUUA
This 67-nucleotide transfer RNA is filed under the name Glaucis hirsutus. RNAcentral's name for it is "tRNA-Ser". The record is from RNAcentral. Lineage: Eukaryota; Metazoa; Chordata; Aves; Apodiformes; Trochilidae.